CCUACGGGUGGCAGCAGUAGGGAAUAUUCCACCAUGGGCGAAAGCCUGAUGGAGCAACGCCGCGUGGGUGAAGAAGGUCUUCGGAUCGUAAAACCCUGUUGUUAGAGAAGAAAGUGCGUGAGAGUAACUGUUCACGUUUCGCCGGUCUCUAACCAGAAAGCCACGGCUAACUACGUGCCAGAAGCCGCGGUAAUAAGUAGGUGGCAAGCGUUAUCCGGAUUUAUUGGGCGUAAAGGGAACGCAGGCGGUCUUUUAAGUCUGAUGUGAAAGCUUGCGGCUUAACCGGAGUAGUGCAUUGGAAACUGGUAGAAUUGAGUGCAGGAGAGGAGAGUGGAACUCCAUGUGUAGCGGUGAAAUGCGUAAAUAUAUGGAAGAACACCAGUGGCGAGAGCGGCUCUCUGGUCUGUAACUGACGCUGAGGUUCGAAAGCGUGGGUAGCAAACAGGAUUAGAUACCCGUGUAGUC
RNAcentral lists this ribosomal RNA (465 nucleotides) under uncultured bacterium. RNAcentral describes it as "partial 16S ribosomal RNA". It matches the Rfam family "Bacterial small subunit ribosomal RNA", at positions 338 to 795 of the family's 1533-position model. The record is from RNAcentral.